RNAcentral lists this long non-coding RNA (5553 nucleotides) under Equus caballus (horse). Its description in RNAcentral is "lncRNA (ENSECAG00000054324.1)". The record is from RNAcentral. Lineage: Eukaryota; Metazoa; Chordata; Mammalia; Perissodactyla; Equidae.
GCGGGGGCGGCGCAGGGUCUCCCCUGCGAGGCCAGGCGGAGGUUCGCGGCUCCAGGUGCCCGCUCUGCUCCUCCCAGAAGCUGGACUCACAGGAAACGGAGGCCCGGCCGCCCCGCGAGCCCUCUAUUUACAGCCAGGUCGGUCCUCUCAAGGCCAAGGCCACCCGGGGACCAAUCGUCUAUUUGUCCCCAACAUGGAACAGCCAGCUCCUUCCGGCUGCCUCCUUGGAGAAAGAGGGGCCGGGGGCGGGAGCGCUGGCGGCCCGUCCCUGCUCCCCAGGCCGCGUCCACGCGGGAAAGUGCUCCUGUCCCUGCGUGUCCUCCGCAGCCGGGCGGGGCCGGAGCGGCGCUGCCCCCGGGGUCUGGGGGGCGGCCGGCCGGGGCGGGCACUCCCGACGGCGCGGGGCCGCGGGGCUGUCGUGCUGGUGAUGAUGAAGCCGGGGGUCUGGGCCACCGACAGUCCCCGGCGCCCCAGGAGGCGGGGGGCGCGUGUGCCCGGCGCCCCAUCGCGCAGCACGAGGGCUCAGAGACGCCCGCAGGCGAAGCGGCUGAUGAUGGGCCCGGGAGCACAGCGCGGAGCGGAUCCAGGACCUCGGGUCUCAUCUGGGUCCGACGUCCCCUCUCUCCUUCCUCUCCUUUCCCUCCCUCCGUCCCUUCCUCUCUUUUUUCUUUCCCUCGAUUGCACUGGAAAAUGCCUCCGUGUGCAGAAUGAGGCGCCGAGUCCUCCGAGAAGUCGAACAGCCGGACCGAUGAGAACGUGGCCCUGAUUAAGCCCAGCAUCUGAUGUGACAUUCUCUGUGGUUACGUUUACUUCCCGUUACUAGGGCUUGUGAAGGAGGCAGCGCUGAGAAGGCAGCCUUGGGAGGUCCAAGGCGUCUGGAAGAUGCGUCAGGACGCGCCCCCUGCGCCUCCUCCCCGGGGUUUGGGGUCGCGAGGAUGCUGCCGCCUGGGGCCCCUCCUGGUUACCGCCGUGAACCUGCCGGGCGCGGGGCCUCCUGCAGCCUCCGCGUCUGGCCCGUCUGUCCUCAGGCCGAGGCUGGGCCGUAGUGACCGGCUGGCGGUCCCUGCGCGUCCGGCCCUGCUCCGACGGCCCGAGGCGCGCCCGGCUGCUGGGCAGUCGGAGCCUCGCAGGCUCUGGGAUCCGGGGCCUUCUCGACAAAGCCGCACGAGACCCGUGGCCCCUACUCAGAAAGCGGAGCCACCAAACGCCUGGUCACUCGUGCCAGUGACCCCCCCCCUCCACGGGCAUCCUGGGGUCCCCCUCUUCUCCAGCCUACCUCGAAGACGCUAAAUUCGAAACAGGCCUCCAGUCUGUCCAUCUGUCCGCCCCCAUCCCCUGCUCUCGCGAGCGGGCAGCUCAGUCCUUGCUCGGGUCACUGUGACAGCCCUGUGGGUUCUCCUGCCGACUGUCGUCUCCCCGCCUCGAAGUUUACUCUCCACACCCACCCUGAGGGAGAGGGAGCUCCAGAAAGUCAAAUGAGCUCCUGUGGCCCUGAGUGUUUCAGUGGCUUCCCACUGCACCUGGGAGAAAGUGACCCCCAGCCCCCAUCACAUGGCGCAAGGCUCCCGGGAUUCCUGCAGUUUCCCCCAAAUUCUAUCCCACCAUUGUGCCAUGCCAUUCCAGACACUCUGGUCCCCCAGCUCUAUCUCCAAUACCCUGAGUUGUCCAGCCCCAGGGCCUUUGCACAUGCUGCUCCCCCUCCUUCUGGAAUGCUCUCCCCUCAGCUCUCCCCAUGACCCGCUGAAAGGAGCUCAACACAAGGUUGACAUAAUGGAAGCCAUAUUGUAGAAGAGAGACCAUGUUGUAACUUUGAAUGACCUCUGACUAACUAACCCAGCUGGAUUUGCACCCUCCAGGAGAUCCACCUGUGCUGUAGACGUUAUGACCCCUGCUAGAGCCUAUACCUUGCAGCUGCAAUAAGAUGAUAACUUUGUUCUUUUGAGUUCCUUUGGAAUGUGAUGACCCCCAAACAGACAGUCUAUGCUGAUAGCCAUCAUCAAUGAAACUGAAAGACCUGGAGUGGCGACUUGCAGUCUGUAACAACUGAGGGUCAACAUUCCUAACCCCUCCCCUAUAACCCACUGCCCUAUAUAACUGCGUCAAGAUUCUGUGCCCCCCUUACGAUGGGUCUUUUGGACAUUAGUCGGCCAUCUGCCCUCUUGCUAGCGAGCUGUAAUAAAAUGCCCUUUCUCUGCACCAUCUCACCUCUUGACGACUGGCUUUUGUCUCGGGGAGAGCAGAUUGUGCUCUUUGUGCGGUCAUACUGCCCCUCAUGUCCUUCCAUGCUCUGCUCAGGUGUCACCUGCUCAGAGGACAGCCCUGACCACCCGUCUAAAGAAGCUCUCGGCACCCACGUCGUGUCCCUAUGUCCUGCACAGAACUUGUCCCCAUGUGAAAUUGAUGUACUCAUUUUAUACCCUUCUGUUGUCAUUUCCACCCACAGGAAUGUCAACCACGUGAGAGAAGAAACUGUCUGUUCGCUGUGGAUCCCUGCUCUGAGAACGGGGUCAGCCGCAGUGAGUUCUUGAUUUGCGUUUGUUGAGUAAUUGAAGGAACAAGAAGAAUCAUAAGAUGGAAUCCCAAGAAUUCCAAAAUAAGUAUUUAAAUCAUAGAAUGUUCGAGUCAGAAGGAGCCCUUGGAAACCAUUCAGCCAAACCCAUUCCUUUUGCAGAUGGGUGAACUGAGACCCAGGAGGACAAAGUGCCUGCUCCACACCCCAAGCCGGGGGCCCUGCUCUGUGCGGGGGGGUUCUGCUUGCGUGGUUGUGGGGGCCACAUGUGGCUGUGGGGCGCCAUCUGUCCUUGACACAUGGCUGAGGAAAAUAGGGACAGAAGGCACAAAUAUGCCAAAAGAUAAAAGACUAAAAGCUACACAGUUCAGAGGAGACAGAGCUGGAGGCUGGGUGCCCAGUGGCCUGGAAAGGCUCCCCGAGGACGAGGGGCCUGAAUGGCUUGAGGAGCCGGUGGACCCCAACUUUGAGGGUCAACUCAUGGGAGGGCCUUAGGCAGGAACAGGCUGAGGCAAAUUCCUCAAGAAGGUAAUUCAGGGACAGAAGCAUCCGCUGGCUGCCUGUCACAGCCAGGGGCCUUUCACACGGAAAUCAGAUCACGUGUUCGCUGCCUGGAACAUUCGCUGCUUCUGUGCUGAGGCACCUCAACAGACGACCACAAACCGGGUGGCUUCAGACAAGGGUGAUUUGUCUCUCAAGUUCAGGAAACCGGAAGUCUGAAAUCGGGGGCAGGGGCGGUCCCUCCUGGGGCUCCGAGGCAGCAUCUGCUCCAGGCCCCCUCCAGCUGCUGGUGGGGACCGGCCUCCUUGGGGUCCCUUGGCUUGUAGGUGCAUGGCUUCCAUCUCUGCCUCACGGUCACACGACUUUCUCCAUGUGUGUCUUCACACGGCUUCAGACAAGGACGCUAGUCAUUGUAUUUAGCGUCACCCGAACCCAGUACGACCUCAUCUUAACUAAUCACAUCUGCAAAGACCCUCUUUCCAAAGAAAGUCACAUUCUGAGGUUCCGGGAGGGGCAACGCUAUUCAAGCCAGUGCAGCUUCCCAUUCUGCCGGAUUGAAAGCUGAGCCCUCUCCAGGCCUGUGGGGCAGAGCAGCCUGGUGCUUGAGACCAGGAGGCUGGAGCUGGCCUGCCCAGGUGAGCACCCAGCUCGGUCGUCACCCCCGUGUGCCUGAUGGUGGGUCAUGGCUCCCUGUUCUUUAUUCCCCUUUUGCCACAUGAUGUCACGGGGCCUCCCAAUGAUGUAGGAUGGCCAGGUGACCUGCUCUGCUCAAUGGGGCACUCGUGGGCUUGACCACGCAGAGGCCCUAAGUGCACUUGUGGGAUCUGGCUUGGUUCUUGGCUUCUGGAAGGUCCUGCCCCAAGGAGCUGCCCUCCUAGGGCUGAUGAGAGCUUCGCAGGGCUGACCUGAGGCCGAUCCCCAGCCUGCGGCCAAGCCCGGCAGCCCGGUGACCCUCCACAGAGUCACCCCAUCGAGCCCAACUCAGAUCAGCUGAACCCAGACGACCUGCCCUCCGCGAGCUGGGAAGUAAGUCACUGUGUUUGGAUGGUUCGUUACAGAUCAACACUGGGACAGUGGCUGAGGAAAACAGAAAUGUGUUGCUGGGCAUUCAGCUGCCCUCUCGGUUUCCCCAUCUGUAAAAUGGGGCUGAAAGCAGUACCAGCCUCCUCAGUUGUUGUGAGGGUGAAGCGAGAUAAUAAACGUAACGUGGCAUGUGGGGCGGAGACAAGAGCAGACGAGGUCCCUGCCCCACGGGCCUCCCACGUUGGCGGGAGAGAGACAGGAACGUGAAAUCCAGCGGGGCCGCACGUGGCCGGUGGUGAAGGUCGCCAAGAGGGAAGCACAGCAGGAUAGGGAGGCGGGGACAGGAGUGGUGCGGGCUCAACAGGCUGUUCAGGGAGGGACUCACUGAGACAGGGACAUAGGGCAAGGGGCCUGAAGAAAUAAGUGGGGCACGAGGGUUCUGCGGGGAGCGUUCAAGGCAGAGGGCACAGCCGGUACAAGGCCCGUGUGUGCGAGGAGCAGUGGGGGCCAGAGUGGCUGCAGGGAGGUGGGCGAGGGGGACUGUGGGAGCCAGGUCAGAGAGGUGACGGCACGGGAUCCGUGUACGACCUUGAGGGCCAGUGAAAGGACGCUGGCGUUACCUGUGCAUGUUGGAGCCCUCAGAUGGGUCUGAACACAGGAGUGACGUGCUCUGAGUUCAUUUUAGGUGACGCCUCAGGCUGUGUGCGGGGCCAGACUGUGGGGCGGAGGGCAGAAGCAGCUGGACCUGUGAGGAGGCCACCAGGGUGGGGGCAGGAAGGUGCAGGGCACGGUCAUCAGUGCCAGCUCUGGGAUUUGCACCUGAGGGUCGGCUGACGGGAUCUGCUGAUGGAUGGGGCGGAGGCGGUAAGAGGGAAACAGACCGUCAAGGAGGACGCCAAGGGCUUUGGGCUGAGCGGCUGGAAGGACUGCGGUGCUCCUGAGUCAGGUGUGGGAGGUCUCAGGAGGAGCAGGCGGGAGCAGGGAGCGGCUGAGAGGCAGAGAGACCUUCCAGAAAGGUCUGGGGUCCUGAGCCAACUUGGCCCCCCCUCAAGAGCUUCCUUCAUCUGAGCUGCAAGGAUGACCACCUGUGUUGUCCCCGAGCGGGUGACGCCAGCCAGGCUCUGCACUUGUGUCUCCCUCCGAGAGACAAAGGUCAAUGUCACAGCAGUCUGCUCUGAUGCUGGCUUCAAGCCAAGGCCCUUAAUGUUCAAUGAGAAAUCUGCAUUGAUGAAAUUUUCAUUAAAGAAACGUUAUCCCUUUCCCUCGCCUUGUUAUUCCGUGGCUGUGGGUAUCAGGCUAAUUUGGGUUUGAUUACCCCGAUGAUCUGAAGAUUGGAGCAUUAUUAAAAAUUUAGAUGAGCAAUGAUAGGUCUGCGCCUCCCUCUCCUCUCUCAGCCGGAGCACAGGGGCUCUGCUAACGAUCACAACGAAUUCGGGGCAGACAUGGCAAUUAGAGGAGUAUCGAUAGUUCGAGGGGGCUUCAACCCCUCUGCCUCCAACGGAAAUCGGCUGGGUGGCUUC